This 694-nucleotide ribosomal RNA is filed under the name uncultured bacterium. RNAcentral describes it as "bacterial SSU rRNA". It matches the Rfam family "Bacterial small subunit ribosomal RNA", at positions 129 to 818 of the family's 1533-position model. The record is from RNAcentral.
CCUGGUAGUGGGGGACAACGUUCGGAAACGGACGCUAAUACCGCAUACGUCCUACGGGAGAAAGCAGGGGACCUUCGGGCCUUGCGCUAUCAGAUGAGCCUAGGUCGGAUUAGCUAGUUGGUGGGGUAAUGGCUCACCAAGGCGACGAUCCGUAACUGGUCUGAGAAGAUGAUCAGUCACACUGGAACUGAGACACGGUCCAGACUCCUACGGGAGGCAGCAGCGGGGAAUAUUGGACAAUGGGCGAAAGCCUGAUCCAGCCAUGCCGCGUGUGUGAAGAAGGUCUUCGGAUUGUAAAGCACUUUAAGUUGGGAGGAAGGGUUGUAGAUUAAUACUCUGCAAUUUUGACGUUACCGACAGAAUAAGCACCGGCUAACUCUGUGCCAGCAGCCGCGGUAAUACAGAGGGUGCAAGCGUUAAUCGGAAUUACUGGGCGUAAAGCGCGCGUAGGUGGUUAGUUAAGUUGGAUGUGAAAUCCCCGGGCUCAACCUGGGAACUGCAUUCAAGACUGACUGACUAGAGUAUGGUAGAGGGUGGUGGAAUUUCCUGUGUAGCGGUGAAAUGCGUAGAUAUAGGAAGGAACACCAGUGGCGAAAGCAACCACCUGGACUGAUACUGACACUGAGGUGCGAAAGCGUGGGGAGCAAACAGGAUUAGAUACCCUGGUAGUCCACGCCGUAAACGAUGUCAACUA